RNAcentral lists this ribosomal RNA (499 nucleotides) under uncultured bacterium. RNAcentral's name for it is "bacterial SSU rRNA". It matches the Rfam family "Bacterial small subunit ribosomal RNA", at positions 28 to 520 of the family's 1533-position model. The record is from RNAcentral.
GAUGAACGCUAGCGGCAGGCUUAAUACAUGCAAGUCGAGGGGCAGCAUGACUGUAGCAAUACAGUUGAUGGCGACCGGCAAACGGGUGCGGAACACGUACAGAACCUUCCUUCGAGCGGGGAAUAGCCCAGAGAAAUUUGGAUUAAUACCCCAUAGUACAACGGAGUGGCAUCACUUUGUUGUUAAAGAUUUAUCACUUGAAGAUGGCUGUGCGGCUGAUUAGGUAGUUGGCGGGGUAACGGCCCACCAAGCCUGCGAUCAGUAACUGGUGUGAGAGCACGACCAGUCACACGGGCACUGAGACACGGGCCCGACUCCUACGGGAGGCAGCAGUAAGGAAUAUUGGUCAAUGGACGAAAGUCUGAACCAGCCAUGCCGCGUGGAGGAUGAAGGUCCUCUGGAUUGUAAACUUCUUUAUAUGGGACGAAAAAGGGUUUUCUAACUCGUCUGACGGUACCAUAUGAAUAAGCACGGCUAACUCCGUGCCAGCAGCCGACGG